This 520-nucleotide ribosomal RNA is filed under the name Enterobacter sp. O10. Its description in RNAcentral is "bacterial SSU rRNA". It matches the Rfam family "Bacterial small subunit ribosomal RNA", at positions 560 to 1089 of the family's 1533-position model. The record is from RNAcentral. Lineage: Bacteria; Pseudomonadati; Pseudomonadota; Gammaproteobacteria; Enterobacterales; Enterobacteriaceae.
UUACAGCGCAUCCAGGCGGUCUGUCAAGUCAGAUGUGAAAUCCCCGGGCUCAACCUGGGAACUGCAUUCGAAACCGGCAGGCUGGAGUCUUGUAGAGGGGGGUAGAAUUCCAGGUGUAGCGGUGAAAUGCGUAGAGAUCUGGAGGAAUACCGGCGGCGAAGGCGGCCCCCUGGACAAAGACUGACGCUCAGGUGCGAAAGCGUGGGGAGCAAACAGGAUUAGAUACCCUGGUAGUCCACGCCGUAAACGAUGUCGAUUUGGAGGUUGUGCCCUUGAGGCGUGGCUUCCGGAGCUAACGCGUUAAAUCGACCGCCUGGGGAGUACGGCCGCAAGGUUAAAACUCAAAUGAAUUGACGGGGGCCCGCACAAGCGGUGGAGCAUGUGGUUUAAUUCGAUGCAACGCGAAGAACCUUACCUGGUCUUGACAUCCACAGAACUUUCCAGAGAUGGAUUGGUGCCUUCGGGAACUGUGAGACAGGUGCUGCAUGGCGACGUCAGCUCGCCGCCCUGCACCAAAAAU